AGGGAAGAAGAAGAAGAAGAAGAGGAACAACAGCAACAACAAAAAAGACAGCAAGAAAAAAAAAGGGAAGAAAGGAAACAAAAAGAACACCAAGAUAGGAAAGAGAGUCCUCACCCCAGAAGAGUCCAUGGAUCGCUACAGGCGCGUCUUGGUAGCAGUGAAAAAGGGCAUGACAAAAACUGAGGCAUACGUCAAAGUCGGGGUUGACCGAAAAACGGUAGCAGCAACGGCCGCCAUUUCGGAGCUACACGCUGUUGACAAGGACCUGUAUGACCAGCUGAGGGCAUCAAUGCCCAAGGGAGAGACACUUUAUCUUUUUUCGGCAAAAUGUAACCUAGAAAUUCUUGGCAGGAACCUUCAGGAUAAGGUGAAUGAAAAAAAAAAGCAACGGGGAACUUUUGCAAAUUGGACACCGGGCAUAGUAAAGAAGAGAGCAGGUUUUUGUUUUGUUUUUAGGGUGCCUUUUUUUUGUUCCAUUUUAAAAUGCCCUUUUUUUUGGUUGAUUUGUUCAGUGACAUCGAGAAAUGCCUUGUUAAAAGUGCAGCCUUUGUUUUUGUUCCCAUUUAAAAUGCCUUUUUUUGUUUCUGUUUGUGUUUUAAAUUGUUAAUAUUGUCUGUAUUACCCCGUUAUUAUGUUAUUAUUAUGUUAUAAAUGUUUAACUUAAG
This is a long non-coding RNA of Gadus morhua (Atlantic cod), 665 nucleotides long. RefSeq lists it as uncharacterized. NCBI's taxonomy places the organism in Eukaryota, Metazoa, Chordata, Actinopteri, Gadiformes, Gadidae. The transcript has 2 exons. The record is from RefSeq and is a predicted model, not a curated record.